Molecule: non-coding RNA, 112 nt
Organism: Caerostris darwini
Lineage: Eukaryota; Metazoa; Arthropoda; Arachnida; Araneae; Araneidae
Source: the annotation of a GenBank genome assembly
AACGGCCGUACCAUGCUGAAUAUACCGGUUCUCGUUAGAUCACUGAAGUUAAGCAUCAUUGGGCGCGGUCAGUACUUGGGUGGGUGACCACCUGGGAACACUGCGUGCCGUU